AUUGAAACCAAAAAGAGGUUUAUCACUGUUAAUGAUAUUAAUGAAAAAUUUCCAAU
RNAcentral lists this transfer RNA (56 nucleotides) under Cassida circumdata. RNAcentral describes it as "tRNA-Asn". The record is from RNAcentral. Lineage: Eukaryota; Metazoa; Arthropoda; Insecta; Coleoptera; Chrysomelidae.